This 442-nucleotide ribosomal RNA is filed under the name uncultured bacterium. RNAcentral's name for it is "partial 16S ribosomal RNA". It matches the Rfam family "Bacterial small subunit ribosomal RNA", at positions 338 to 795 of the family's 1533-position model. The record is from RNAcentral.
CCUACGGGAGGCUGCAGUGGGGAAUAUUGGGCAAUGGAGGCAACUCUGACCCAGCAACGCCGCGUGAAUGAUGAAGGUCUUCGGAUCGUAAAGCUCUGUGAUGGGGGAUGAACACAAUGACGGUACACCAAUCGCAAGCCACGGCUAACUAAGUGCCAGCAGCCGCGGUAAUACGGGGGAUGCGAGCGUUAUCCGGUUUUAUUGGGUUAAAUGGGUGCGUAGGCGGUCCGGAAAGUCAGCGGGAAAAGCCCGGGGCUCAACCCCGGCGAGCCGUUGAAACUGUCGGACUAGAGACGGCGAGAGGAACGCGGAAUGCGCUGUGUAGCGGUGAAAUGCAUAGAUAUCGCGCAGAACUCCGAUUGCGAAGGCAGCGUACCGGCGCCUAACUGACGCUGAGGCACGAAAGCGUGGGUAUCGAACAGGAUUAGAUACCCUGGUAGUC